RNAcentral lists this ribosomal RNA (305 nucleotides) under uncultured bacterium. RNAcentral describes it as "bacterial SSU rRNA". It matches the Rfam family "Bacterial small subunit ribosomal RNA", at positions 333 to 652 of the family's 1533-position model. The record is from RNAcentral.
GGCUCCCUACGGGGCGCAGCAGUGGGGGAUAUUGCACAAUGGGGGGAACCCUGAUGCAGCGACGCCGCGUGGGUGAAGAAGCGCCUCGGCGCGUAAAGCCCUGUCAGCAGGGAAGAAAGAAAUGACGGUACCUGACUAAGAAGCCCCGGCUAACUACGUGCCAGCAGCCGCGGUAAUACGUAGGGGGCAAGCGUUAUCCGGAUUUACUGGGUGUAAAGGGAGCGUAGACGGCAAUGCAAGUCUGGAGUGAAAGGCGGGGGCCCAACCCCCGGACUGCUCUGGAAACUGUAUAGCUGGAGUGCAGG